This 497-nucleotide ribosomal RNA is filed under the name uncultured bacterium. RNAcentral's name for it is "partial 16S ribosomal RNA". It matches the Rfam family "Bacterial small subunit ribosomal RNA", at positions 28 to 507 of the family's 1533-position model. The record is from RNAcentral.
GAUGAACGCUGGCGGCGUGCCUAAUACAUGCAAGUCGAGCGAACAGACGAGGUGCUUGCUCCUCUGACGUUAGCGGCGGACGGGUGAGUAACACGUGGAUAACCUACCUAUAAGACUGGGAUAACUUCGGGAAACCGGAGCUAAUACCGGAUAAUAUAUUGAACCGCAUGGUUCAAUAGUGAAAGACGGUGUUGCUGUCACUUAUAGACGGUUCCCCUCCUCAUUAGGUAGUUGGUAAGGUAACGGCUUACCAAGGCAACGAUGCGUAGCCGACCAGAGCAGGUGAUCGGCCAGACUGGAGCGGAGACACGGUCCAGAGUCCUAUGGGAGGCAGCAGUAGGGAAUCUUCCGCGAUGGGGGAGAGAAUGACGGAGCAACGCCGCGUGAGUGAUGAAGGUAUUCGGAUCGUAAGACUCUGUUAUUAGGGAAGAACAAAUGUGUAAGUAACUAUGCACGAAUUGACGGUACCUGAUCAGAAAGCCACGGCUAACUACGUG